RNAcentral lists this ribosomal RNA (492 nucleotides) under uncultured bacterium. RNAcentral's name for it is "partial 16S ribosomal RNA". It matches the Rfam family "Bacterial small subunit ribosomal RNA", at positions 29 to 507 of the family's 1533-position model. The record is from RNAcentral.
AGUGAACGCUGGCGGUAGGCCUAACACAUGCAAGUCGAACGGCAGCACAGUAAGAGCUUGCUCUUACGGGUGGCGAGUGGCGGACGGGUGAGGAAUACAUCGGAAUCUACUUUUUCGUGGGGGAUAACGUAGGGAAACUUACGCUAAUACCGCAUACGACCUACGGGUGAAAGCAGGGGAUCUUCGGACCUUGCGCGAUUGAAUGAGCCGAUGUCGGAUUAGCUAGUUGGCGGGGUAAAGGCCCACCAAGGCGACGAUCCGUAGCUGGACUGAGAGGAUGAUCAGCCACACUGGAACUGAGACACGGUCCAGACUCCUACGGGAGGCAGCAGUGGGGAAUAUUGGACAAUGGGCGCAAGCCUGAUCCAGCCAUACCGCGUGGGUGAAGAAGGCCUUCGGGUUGUAGAGCCAUUUUGUUGGGAAAGAAAAGCAGCAGGUUAAUACCCCGCUGUUCUGACGGUACCCAAAGAAUAAGCACCGGCUAACUUCGUG